GAUGAUCGCUUCAUCUCCCGAUUACACGCCCACACCCACACAACCAGCAGCUGCACGUACACACCAAUUCCUGCCGUGUCUCCUCGUGAGCGUCGACCCGCCUCUCUCCUCCCCCUAUUCUCCGACCCCACGAGGGAUUGCGACGCAGCCCUUCAGCCGGCCAACAAAGAGGCAAUGGCACCUAAGGCGCACAGCGACGAGGCCCUCCUCGACGCCUGCAUCAACGCGAACCGUCUCGAGUACCCGGAGCAGUCGCUGAUCUUUGUGGCGCUUAUCGCCUCCUUUCAGCCCGUGUACUUCUCGCACGCCAUCAACGGCUUCGACUGGCGCCAUGUUCCGAACCUCGUCCUGUACAUCGUUAUCACGGGCUUUACGACGUACAUGUUACGUCAGGCGUACGUUGUGAUGGUGCAGAGCGAGUUCUGGGGCCGUCAGCGCCACUUCGCCGAGGUCUCGGACGAGAAAGCCAAGGCGCUGCGUCGUCUGCGCCUGCAGGUAGCGGUGGGAUACAGUCUGUUCUUCCUGAACAGUGUCUUCUUUGUGGUGAGCACCUGCUUGAUGGCGUACAUCUUCCGCCACAGCGACCCCCGCGCCAGCUACAUCCUUUCGCCGACGCUGACGGCGGCCCUGCUGUGGCUGAUUGCGCAGAAAAACGAGGAGAGCCGCCAGCGCCGCAUGCGCCUCCACAAGUAAGUAAAUGCGAAAAAUGGAAGGCGAGAUGAGCGAGUCUGGGGCAGGCAGUGAGACGCAUGCGGCGCUAUCUGCGGGUUACUGAUUGCGAGGACGAGGAUACUUGGGGACGGCGGUUGAGGGUGUAGGUGCACUCACCUACGCACGCACGCGGAAAAAAAAAAGCAAAGGACAGCAGAUCGCAGCACCGUGCGCCGUUCAGCUGCAACGCCUUGCGUGGCUUCGCUUUGGGGUGAUCGCUCCUCUACGCAUGUGCGCGCUGUAGUGCGCUAACUUUCACCAUCCGUCUUCUCCCCCUUCCGCGAUGUCCUUCGCAUCGCCCCACCCACCCUCCCCUCUUGGCCACUCCGUCCUAGCCAGCGCUCUUCCGCUCGGGGGCGGGCAGCGAGGGGCGGAUGCAAGACUUGGAGAGCAUUCUCGUCACCUCGUGAUGGCUGGCUUUGGCAGCCCUUGCUCUUCCCUCUUUUUGCCUGUCGCCUCUACCGUCUCGUGGCCGCCUUGUUGUGCAAGUUGCCUCUCUCUGCCAUUCCCUCAUCGGCAUCAUGGAUGCCACCCGUCAGCGCUGCAGCCCUCGCGUGCCUGCGUCGACUUCGAUGGGCGUCAUUCGGGUUUGAUGGCGUUGAGGGGAGCGGAGGGCGGAGGGGAAGGGGACGUGAAUACGGGUCGGCAAAGUACGAGAGGCCCUGUGUGAACGUCCCCACCCACCCAGCAAGAGGCACCGCCACAAUCGCACCAAGCAUGCAAACGCAUGCACGCACGCACGUACGCUCGCCACCACCGCCUUCUCCUUGUCUCUCUCUCUCCCGAUCUCCUUACCUCCCACGUCGCAG
RNAcentral lists this unclassified non-coding RNA (1520 nucleotides) under Leishmania donovani. RNAcentral describes it as "gene:LdHU3.14.0330(CDS-product:hypothetical_prote in_conserved)". Lineage: Eukaryota; Euglenozoa; Kinetoplastea; Trypanosomatida; Trypanosomatidae. The record is from RNAcentral.